This 497-nucleotide ribosomal RNA is filed under the name uncultured bacterium. RNAcentral's name for it is "partial 16S ribosomal RNA". It matches the Rfam family "Bacterial small subunit ribosomal RNA", at positions 28 to 507 of the family's 1533-position model. The record is from RNAcentral.
GACGAACGCUGGCGGCGUGCCUAAUACAUGCAAGUUGAGCGCUGAAGGUUGGUACUUGUACCAACUGGAUGAGCAGCGAACGGGUGAGUAACGCGUGGGGAAUCUGCCUUUGAGCGGGGGACAACAUUUGGAAACGAAUGCUAAUACCGCAUAAAAACUUUAAACACAAGUUUUAAGUUUGAAAGAUGCAAUUGCAUCACUCAAAGAUGAUUCCUCGUUGUAUUAGCUAGUUGGUGAGGUAAAGGCUCACCAAGGCGAUGAUACAUAGCCGACCUGAGAGGGGGAUCGGCCACAUUGGGAAGGAGACAAGGCCCAAACGACUAAGGGAGGCAGCAGUAGGGAAACUUCGGAAAUGGACGAAAGUCUGAACGAGCAACGCCGCGUGAGUGAAGAAGGGUGUCGGAUCGUAAAACUCCGUUGGUAGAGAAGAACGUUGGUGAGAGUGGAAAGCUCAUCAAGUGACGGUAACUACCCAGAAAGGGACGGCUAACUACGUG